CCGGUGGAGGGAGUGGAGACCGACCCGGCAAUGGAAAUGAGGGAAUCAAGAGAUGAUGAAGCCGCCAUUGGGAAAGGGAAGGUCCGGAAUGAUGAUCCAAGUAAAGACUUCAAGCUCCGACGACAGAAAUGGAGACGACGCGAUGCAUACAGCAACGGAUAUGAAAAGAUGUGCGUUGGAGUUUGAUUAGGGUUUUAGAAGCUC
This 204-nucleotide unclassified non-coding RNA is filed under the name Hevea brasiliensis (rubber tree). The record is from RNAcentral. Lineage: Eukaryota; Viridiplantae; Streptophyta; Magnoliopsida; Malpighiales; Euphorbiaceae.